GUUGGAAUAGCUCAGUUGGUUAGAGCAUGUAGUUGUUAACCACAAGGUCGGAGGUUUCGAGCCAUCCUAGCGUUU
Molecule: transfer RNA, 75 nt
Filed under: Olea europaea subsp. europaea
Lineage: Eukaryota; Viridiplantae; Streptophyta; Magnoliopsida; Lamiales; Oleaceae
Description: tRNA.Asn
Rfam family: tRNA (bases 7-68)
About the family: Transfer RNA (tRNA) molecules are approximately 80 nucleotides in length. Their secondary structure includes four short double-helical elements and three loops (D, anti-codon, and T loops).
Source: RNAcentral